Transfer RNA from Fistulina hepatica ATCC 64428, 95 nucleotides. It matches the Rfam family "tRNA". From Rfam's summary of the family: Transfer RNA (tRNA) molecules are approximately 80 nucleotides in length. Their secondary structure includes four short double-helical elements and three loops (D, anti-codon, and T loops). NCBI's taxonomy places the organism in Eukaryota, Fungi, Basidiomycota, Agaricomycetes, Agaricales, Fistulinaceae. The record is from Rfam.
GCCCGCCUAGCUCAAUCGGAUAGAGCGUCAGACUCUUAUUGAUAUAAGAUGGGGGUGAUAUCUGAAGGCUGCGAGUUCGACCCUCGCGGUGGGCU